UACGAAGGGGGCUAGCGUUGCUCGGAAUCACUGGGCGUAAAGGGUGCGUAGGCGGGUUCUUAAGUCAGAGGUGAAAUCCUGGAGCUCAACUCCAGAACUGCCUUUGAUACUGAGAGUCUUGAGUUCGGGAGAGGUGAGUGGAACUGCGAGUGUAGAGGUGAAAUUCGUAGAUAUUCGCAAGAACACCAGUGGCGAAGGCGGCUCACUGGCCCGUAACUGACGCUCAUGCACGACAGCGUGGGGAUCAAACAGG
RNAcentral lists this ribosomal RNA (253 nucleotides) under uncultured bacterium. RNAcentral describes it as "partial 16S ribosomal RNA". It matches the Rfam family "Bacterial small subunit ribosomal RNA", at positions 524 to 776 of the family's 1533-position model. The record is from RNAcentral.